AGCCACACUGGGACUGAGACACGGCCCAGACUCCUACGGGAGGCAGCAGUGGGGAAUUUUGGACAAUGGGGGAAACCCUGAUCCAGCCAUCCCGCGUGUGCGAUGAAGGCCUUCGGGUUGUAAAGCACUUUUGGCAGGAAAGAAACGUUCCGGGUUAAUACCCGGAAACUGACGGUACCUGCAGAAUAAGCACCGGCUAACUACGUGCCAGCAGCCGCGGUAAUACGUAGGGUGCAAGCGUUAAUCGGAAUUACUGGGCGUAAAGCGUGCGCAGGCGGUUCGGAAA
RNAcentral lists this ribosomal RNA (286 nucleotides) under Achromobacter sp. RNAcentral's name for it is "partial 16S ribosomal RNA". It matches the Rfam family "Bacterial small subunit ribosomal RNA", at positions 306 to 586 of the family's 1533-position model. Lineage: Bacteria; Pseudomonadati; Pseudomonadota; Betaproteobacteria; Burkholderiales; Alcaligenaceae. The record is from RNAcentral.